GACGAACGCUGGCGGCGUGCUUAACACAUGCAAGUCGAACGGAAAGGCCCCCUUGUGGGGUACUCGAGUGGCGAACGGGUGAGUAACACGGGAGUAACCUACCCUUGACUUUGGGAUAACUUCAGGAAACUGGGGCUAAUACCGGAUAGGAGCUCCUGCUGCAUGGUGGGGGUUGGAAAGUUUCGGCGGUUGGGGAUGGACUCGCGGCUUAUCAGCUUGUUGGUGGUGUAGUGGCUCACCAAGGCUUUGACGGGUAGCCGGCCUGAGAGGGUGACCGGCCACAUUGGGACUGAGAUACGGCCCAGACUCCUACGGGAGGCAGCAGUGGGGAAUAUUGCACAAUGGGCGGAAGCCUGAUGCAGCAACGCCGCGUGCGGGAUGACGCCCUUCGGUUUGUAAACCGCUUUCGCCUGUGACGAAGCGUGAGUGACGGUACUGGGUCAAGAAGCCCCGGCUAACUACGUG
Molecule: ribosomal RNA, 465 nt
Filed under: uncultured bacterium
Lineage: Bacteria
Description: partial 16S ribosomal RNA
Rfam family: Bacterial small subunit ribosomal RNA
Source: RNAcentral